GGGGUCGCUCAUUUGGCGUUACCCCCCGGUCCAACCGUUCCGUAGGUGAACCUGCGGAAGGAUCAUUA
Molecule: ribosomal RNA, 68 nt
Filed under: Penicillium sp. YM3II
Lineage: Eukaryota; Fungi; Ascomycota; Eurotiomycetes; Eurotiales; Aspergillaceae
Description: partial 18S rRNA
Source: RNAcentral